CUCUAUUGGCCUUUUACAUUAUGCAAAACACAGAUUGGCACUAUGCUACACACAUUUUGGAAUUGUCCGGCCCUGGGAGAAUACUGGGACCGGGUGGGGAAAUUUAUCUCUGAUACCACACUCUAUAGAAUACCAAAUAAGCCAACCAGCUAUUUUCUGCAUAUCAUCCAUGGGCUGAUACACCACCCCAACCACACAGUAUUGCUCAUCGUUCUGACGGUAGCUAAGAUAAACUUGGCGUUCCACUGGAAGAGCACGACGAUUCCCUCAUUAGAUACUCUCAUACAGAGGAUGAAUACGAUAAGUAUUUACGAGAGAAUGGUUAGCAAAACACAGGGUUGUGUAAGUAGGUAUGUGAGAGAUUGGGAAUGCUGGACCACAAAUAUUGGAAAGGCACAGGACAGCAACGCUAACAAUGAGGAAACUGAUAGGAAUAAAUAGCUUAUAGGGCACCACUUUUGUGUGACUUGAAUGUCCGACCAAGCUCUAGGGUUCUAAGGCCAAGGUAUGUGUCACAAGAACUGUUGCA
Molecule: non-coding RNA, 529 nt
Organism: Pelobates cultripes (western spadefoot toad)
Lineage: Eukaryota; Metazoa; Chordata; Amphibia; Anura; Pelobatidae
Source: the annotation of a GenBank genome assembly